This is an RNA transcript of Mandrillus leucophaeus (drill), 1028 nucleotides long. It is a transcript of the gene named programmed cell death protein 2 pseudogene, with no coding region annotated. The transcript has a single exon. The record is from RefSeq and is a predicted model, not a curated record. Lineage: Eukaryota; Metazoa; Chordata; Mammalia; Primates; Cercopithecidae.
AUGGCUGCCGCCCGGGCGGGAUCUGUGGAGCUGGUCUUCGCUGAGUCGGCGCCGGCUUGGCUGCUGCGCAGCUAGCAGUUCCCCAGCAGGGGGGGCGGGCGGGCGGCCGGCGUGACUGGGCGCCGCCCAGCUGGCCUGCGCGCUGUGCGGCCGUCCACUCUCCUUCCUGCGGCAGGUGUAUGAGCCCCCGGCAGGCCACGCCUACUCCUUCCACGGCGGCAUCUUCCGCUUCUGCUGCCGCAAGCCGCCGUGCUAUGUCAGCCUACGAGUUUCUAGGAAUCAGCUACCCAGGAAAAAUGAUUUUUAUUCAUAUGAGCCACCUUCUGAGAAUCCUCCCCCAGAAACAGGAGAAUCGAUGUAUCUCCAACUUAAGUCUGGUGCUCAUCUCUGUAGGUUUUGCGGCUGUUUAGGCCCCAAAACUUGCUCUAGAUGCCACAAAGCGUAUUACUGCAGCAAGAAGCAUCAGACCCUAGACCGGAGAUUGGGACAUAAGCAGGCUUAUGCACAACCAGAUCAUCUGAACUUUACAACUCCAGACCACAACUUCCUUUUUCCAGAAUUUGAAGAUGAAAUUAUGCCUAAGGUUGUGGAAAAGGGAGAUUAUUCAGAGAUUAUAGGGGGCGUGGUUAAGCAGGUCCAGGACUUCAUUCAUUAAGUGGUUCAACUUCAUGCUGGGAAGAAAGGUCUCCAUGUGUCUAUAAGAGAGGUACUGAGAGGAAGACUCACUUUGGAGGCUGGAGCCUACAAUUUUCAGAUAUUGCCUCAGGCGAAAAUAUACUUCCUGACUUUGUUUGCUGACAUAUAUCACGUGUGUUCUGCUCCGUAUAAAGACAAGGGGGUUGGGUAUCCAGGUGGUCCCACGAGUAGGGCUACACAAGAUGCUGGAGGCUUGGUAAGUUCCUCUGGGUCCCAGAUCAGUUUCUCAGGUCGGGAUAGUGUGAGUGCCUAGCACAGUGUCGGGCAUGCAGAAGGGCUCCUUAAAAGUGUCUCUUUCAUCUGGCCGGUUUUAGAUACACAAUUUUUUUUGU